Platichthys flesus (European flounder) is the source of this 1742-nucleotide long non-coding RNA. RefSeq lists it as uncharacterized. The transcript is spliced from 3 exons. The record is from RefSeq and is a predicted model, not a curated record. NCBI's taxonomy places the organism in Eukaryota, Metazoa, Chordata, Actinopteri, Pleuronectiformes, Pleuronectidae.
GAACGCAUCAUGAGAAUCUUUCAGUUAAUACAAGCUGAGUCUGUGGUGAAAGUUUACUCACACAUGGAUCAGUAGCACAGUUUGAUGUUCUGCUUGUUCAUCUGAUGGACACGUUAACGGCGACUGCGCUCCCGUUUCUGUGCAUGUCCAGCCUGAGACACAACUUGAAUCCAACCAGACUGAACACUGACUCCAGGGACAGACGAGCCUGAAGGACACAGCUGUGAUGACCUUGUUCUGUCUCUUAUGGCAAAGCAGAAAUAUUAAACACUGGGUUGACCAGCAUGAAGCUGCAGAUCUCCACCAUGUUGCUGCUGAGGACAUCAAGUGCUGCAGUUCUUCAUCUAUGAAGAGAAAAAACGCACUGUUAAAGAAGGUUUUGUGUUGUGUAUGAAGCACAACAGAUUUCAGAUAGAACCGUUGUACUGUGGUCUUGGUUUGUAUCCUCAUGGUUAAAUGUACAUAUUUUAAGUCCCUUCUGAUAAAAGUACUGAAAGAAAUACAACAUUGUACAAAUAGAUAAAAUGUCUUUCUACCUCAUCUGUAAUAUUCAAGGUGAUAAUCUCCCACAGAGCUAUUGAUAACAGUCCACAUCAAGUCUCUCCACUUCCCUCAGUGUGAAAACAUAAUUAUAUAAUUAAUUUGAGAACUGUUUACAACACUGAUGUGUGGAGAUUAUAAUCAUAUCUAAACUGUCUAAUUCACUGUAAAACUCCAUGACAGGCUAAAUAAACGAGGUGGGAAUAGUAAUGGUGGAUAUACCAGCCUGUAACAGAAUAAUGGUGAAACAUAGUUACUAUCACAUGCAACUUACACGUUUAGCAUCUUGAUAUUAACGUAUUAAAAUAAAAAAUAACGUCACAACCAAACACACAACUCUGUAGCUAACUUGAUUCAAUCUGUGUAUUAGAUGUGUUAAAUAAACUGUAACUUUUAUAACAAUUUUAUAUUAAAAAAGCCUUGAGCCAUGUAAGCAUAUGAUGAUAUGCAUAUGAUAGGUCUCGCGAGACCCCAGCGUCCAGAGGUUGGUCGGGCUGCCUUUGUCGACCGGGGUCAAGCAGGCUGUACCGGUCAUGAUCCCUCCGCAGGUUCACCAUCAGGAACCCUGUUACGAGUUUGACUUCCUCUAGAGUCCAGUUUGAUAGUCUUCUUGGCGCUUCGACUCUGGCGAAGCCGAUCGAGGACCUCACUAAACCAUCCAAUGAGGAAUAGCGAUGUGUGUACAAAGAGGAGGGACUUAAUCAACACCAGCACAUUCCCCAUCCAUUUAUUCCCUUGAUAAUGAUCCAGGUUCUCCUGCAGGAGCUCGGUUCAGUUUUUAUUAUUCGGUCUGAAAUUUGGCAGCAAAACAAGAUUGUGUCCAGUGAGUUUUUCUUAUUUGUACUAGCAAAGUGCAGCUGUUAACAAAAGACAAACUAUCUUAAUUUGUGUGCCUAGAACUUGUUUCCGGUUACUGAGUUAUCAGAAGGGGCAUUGUGUAUCACUCCUUCUACUGGUGAAAGGUCCAGGUUUUGUGAUAUUUACACAAUGUUUUAGUUGUUAUACUGUGGUUUAUUAAUGUUCUUAGGCAGACACAAGAGGCACUUGUUUAUUCUGUUGUGUUGAUUCUUUGUUGUCUCUAGAAGUUCAGAUGCACUGGUCCAUAACUAUUUGAACCUCAGUAUCUAGGGUUCAAAAUUUGUAAAAUUAUAGAUUAUAUGCAUAUUGUUAUAAUUUUUCAGUCAGUUGAAAUAAAUCUUGAG